UGGGGAAUAUUGCACAAUGGGCGCAAGCCUGAUGCAGCCAUGCCGCGUGUAUGAAGAAGGCCUUCGGGUUGUAAAGUACUUUCAGCGGGGUGGAAGGGAGUAAAGUUAAUACCUUUGCUCAUUGACGUUACCCGCAGAAGAAGCACCGGCUAACUCCGUGCCAGCAGCCGCGGUAAUACGGAGGGUGCAAGCGUUAAUCUGAAUUACUGGGCGUAAAGCGCACGCAGGCGGUUUGUUAAGUCAGAUGUGAAAUCCCCGGGCUCAACCUGGGAACUGCAUCUGAUACUGGCAAGCUUGAGUCUCGUAGAGGGGGGUAGAAUUCCAGGUGUAGCGGUGAAAUGCGUAGAGAUCUGGAGGAAUACCGGUGGCGAAGGCGGCCCCCUGGACGAAGACUGACGCUCAGGUGCGAAAGCGUGGGGAGCAAACAGG
Molecule: ribosomal RNA, 429 nt
Filed under: Chloroflexota bacterium
Lineage: Bacteria; Bacillati; Chloroflexota
Description: Chloroflexi bacterium partial 16S ribosomal RNA
Rfam family: Bacterial small subunit ribosomal RNA
Source: RNAcentral